Rosa chinensis is the source of this 2485-nucleotide RNA transcript. It is a transcript of the gene named brefeldin A-inhibited guanine nucleotide-exchange protein 5, with no coding region annotated. The transcript is spliced from 4 exons. The record is from RefSeq and is a predicted model, not a curated record. Lineage: Eukaryota; Viridiplantae; Streptophyta; Magnoliopsida; Rosales; Rosaceae.
UCUCAUAGCUCAAAUCUUCUUCGUUUUGAUCAGAAAUCCCAAAUAGAGCUCCGAUUAGAAAUUCAAAAGAUAGAAGACGAUUAUCUGAUCAAAACCUAAAACCUUGAUUCAAUUUUGAUCGGAGCUUUUUUUUUUAUCCCAACUCUUUCUGUCUCUCUCUCUCUCUCUCUCUCUCUCUCUCUCCAAUGGCGUACUUCUUCUUCUUCUCUGUUUCUCUGCCCUCGCUUCGCAUCCGGAGCAGGACGACGUUGUUUGGAUUUGAAAUCGAUUUCGAGCUUGGAAAAAUGUUGAAAAUGGAGCAAGUGUUCUCGUUCCUGCAGUCGGACGACGACCGAAACUCGACCUCGCUGGUGUGCAAAGUCGUGGUAGAUGAUUGAGCGGUGAGCUGAAAAUUCAGAGCUUUGGUUUUUGCAUUAUCGGUAAUCUGUUAGUUACAUUCAGAAUGAUAAUACUAUGCUGGAGAACAAGCAAAAAGAGCUGAAGGGAUACAUAGCUUACUUCAGUCUAUGGAAACUUUCGUGAAUGCUUAUGAGGCUAUUGUAGACAUAAUGUAGGAGCCAUAUAUUUUUGGAAGGAAUAAAGUUCAAACAAAUGCUCAAUGGCCAUGAAUGUGGGAGCCAAUCACAAAGCUGUGCAUCAUGAAGAUGGCAAAAAGAUCACCAGGUUUGGAUAUGAUAUUAUACGUUGAGAUCUCUCUUUUGCAUUCCUAACAAACCCAGUCUUUCACAUUUAUUUGUAAUGCUUCUAACUGAUGCGCUAUUUUAAAAGAGGGACUGACCUGGAGAGUAUGACCAUAGUUCAACGUGAUGCUUUACUGGUUUUCCGAACCCUGUGGUUUGUGUUUUUGUACACUGUCUUCUAAUUGUUGAGUUAUUUAAGCAACUUGAAGCCUCAUAUAUGAAUUUUGAAACUUGGUCUGCAGAUGGGCAUGAAGGAAGAUAACAAUGAAGUCACUUUGAAGACGAGGAUUUCCUAACCCUUCAAAUUCUUAUUUAGGGUUCAAUGUAGUCAGCACAAUAUUGGAUUAUGUUCCUGAGAUACUUAGCAUGUUCAAAUCAUAGCUCUGUAAGUGGUCAAAUGGACUUCAUUUGACUGUAGCUUUUACAUCUAAGUUAACCUUUGCUAUAGAACUUUAAUCAAGUUAUGAACUGUAAUUCCAUUACUUACUACGUAAGUGCCAGAUUGGUUACUAAUGGCUUAUUGUGUAUGUAUCAGUCACAGAAUAGCUUCUUUCACCUUCCCCUCACUUUAUUUGCACAAAUUAAUUUUGACUAUAUUUGAGGAUUCUUUGUUGACAGGUAAGGGCUCUAUUUCUGUGUCUUUUCUAUAUAUUUUAAGAUCUAGAUAUUAUUUUGUUGUGUGCUUUAAUUAAGAUAUGAACCAUUGUAUAUAGGAAGAACAGGAAGGUUAUCUCAUCAUCUUAAAAUAUUUUUCUUUAGAUCAACCAUGCUACAUUAUUUAUUGAUUUAAGGUUGAGGGAGUGGACAGGUAAAAACACUAAGGUAUAUUGUUGUUCACAGGAAGGUUAUCUCACCAGGUAAAUACUAUCCUUAGUAAACAUUUCUGGCACUAAGGAUAAGUGUUAUUCAAAAAUGAUAUUUCAACUGCUUCAAUAAGGUAUUAGUUCGGUAGUCUAAUGCUUCAAUCCUUAUUGCAUACUUUCUGGCAGGCAAAAGCUUUGGCAGAGCCUUUUGAUUAUAGUGAAUACAUUGAACACCAAAAAAAGAAGAAGCUAGAAAAAGAAUUUCUGGGACAGCGAAUUACGGUUAGACACUUUCUUCUAAGAAUAUUGUUUGUAUAUUUACAAACCUUAUAAUUCUUUUUGUACCUUUGCAUCCAAACUAAUUACUAAUUUGUUUUCAUCUAUAUAAGUUAGUCAUCCAUGAAGAACAUUCAACAUUGCUCUGAGGUGCUCUAAUAAUUUUUUUGAUGUUCUUCAUACUUUCCAAAUAUGGUAUUAUUGUACAUCUAAUACUGCAAGGUAUUCUGACUCUUCAUUUGGUUACAACUCUAUCCAGAAUAUCUCAAGGGAUGCAAAAUGCAGAUCUAAUAUGGCUGUUGCGUCCCAGACUACUUCAAUAAAGGGUUCAUCUCUUCUGGUUGCUGGAUGACCUCUUUUUCCUUGACCUUGCCAGUGUCUUGUGAAUGUGAUUAAAUCACUCGUAGAUUGGGAAAAGUCAUGUGGAGAAUCAGAUAAAAUAAAAACACUCAGUCUCUGGAAGGAGAUGCUUCAGCUAAAGAGUCUGUUGAUGUGAAAAGCAGGCAAGAUGCAACCACUAACUUUGAGAAGGCAAAAGCUCAUAAGUCUACAGUGGAAGCUGCCAUAUCUACAUGAGGUGGAAUAAAGUGAUGCUGUAUUACUAAUACUUUUGUAUCUCAAGUGCAUUUUUAUAAAUGGAAUAAAGAGAGAAAACACCAUAAUUUUGUUGGUGGUUAUGUACUUUUUUGUUUGACGUAUAAUGAAUGUAAUGCAGCUGUUAGAACA